AGAAUAAACUUUUUAAUUAAAUAUAUAAAUUGACAAAAAGAUUAAAAGGUCUUAAUAUUUUAGAGGGACGAUAAGACCCUGUGAAAUUUUAUUUACAAUCAUAUUGUAAUAUAAGUAACCAUAAUAUGUUAUAAAUUAAACUGGGGCGGUGAAAAUAACUAAACUAUUUUAAACCUAACAUAUAAGUAUGGGAUUAUAGAACAUAGGUAUACAAAAUUAAACAAAUUACUCCAGGGAUAACAGCACAAUUUCUUUAGAAAGACCAUAUUGGUAAAGAAGCUUGUGACCUCGAUGUUGAAUUGGGGUAACAUACUAAAGCAAAAAUUUGUAAUGUCAGUCUGUUCGACUGUUAAAUCCUC
This 359-nucleotide ribosomal RNA is filed under the name Stenasellus buili. Its description in RNAcentral is "partial 16S ribosomal RNA". The stretch from base 66 to 359 matches the Rfam family "Bacterial large subunit ribosomal RNA", at positions 2078 to 2597 of the family's 2925-position model. Lineage: Eukaryota; Metazoa; Arthropoda; Malacostraca; Isopoda; Stenasellidae. The record is from RNAcentral.